This 441-nucleotide ribosomal RNA is filed under the name uncultured bacterium. RNAcentral's name for it is "partial 16S ribosomal RNA". It matches the Rfam family "Bacterial small subunit ribosomal RNA", at positions 338 to 796 of the family's 1533-position model. The record is from RNAcentral.
CCUACGGGAGGCAGCAGUAGGGAAUAUUGCUCAAUGGGGGAAACCCUGAAGCAGCAACGCCGCGUGGAGGAUGAAGGUUUUCGGAUUGUAAACUCCUUUUGUUAGAGAAGAUAAUGACGGUAUCUAACGAAUAAGCACCGGCCAACUCCGUGCCAGGAGCCGCGGUAAUACGGAGGGCGCAAGCGUUACUCGGAAUCCCUGGGCGUAAAGAGCGCCUAGGCGGGGUAGCAAGUCAGAUUUGAAAUCCUAUGGCUUAACCAUAGAACUGCAUUUGAAACUGUGAAUCUAGAUGAUGGGAGAGGUAGGUGGAAUUCUUUGUGUAGGGGUAAAAGCCGUAGAGAUCAAGAGGAAUACUCAUUGCGAAGGCGACCUGCUAGAACAGAACUGACGAUGAUGCGCGAAAGCGUGGGGAGCAAACAGGAUUAGAUACCCCAGUAGUCC